GAUGAAGAACGUAGCGAAAUGCGAUAAGUAAUGUGAAUUGCAGAAUUCAGUGAAUCAUCGAAUCUUUGAACGCACCUUGCGCUCCUUGGUAUUCCGAGGAGCAUGCCUGUUUGAGUGUCAGUAUACUCUCAACCCCACCAGCUUUUGUUAGCUGACUUUGGGGAUUGGAUGUUGGAGGUUUUGCCGGCCUUUUUCUUAGGUUGGCUCCUCUGAAAUGCAUUAGCGGAACCGUUUGCGAUCCGUCACAGGUGUGAUAAUUAUCUAUGCCUAGUGGGUUGCUCUCUGUCUUGUUCAGCUUCCAACUGUCCCGUUCACAUGGACAAACUAUAACUGAAUGUUUGACCUCAAAUCAGGUAGGACUACCCGCUGAACUUAAGCAUAUCAAUAAGCGGAGGA
Molecule: unclassified non-coding RNA, 396 nt
Filed under: soil metagenome
Description: partial contains 5.8S ribosomal RNA, internal transcribed spacer 2, and large subunit ribosomal RNA
Rfam family: 5.8S ribosomal RNA (bases 1-120)
Source: RNAcentral